UACGUAGGGGGCAAGCGUUAUCCGGAAUUAUUGGGCGUAAAGAGUACGUAGGUGGUUAUAUAAGCGCGAGGUGAAAGGCCGAGGCUUAACUUCGGUUAGCCUUUCGAACUGUAUGACUUGAGUGCAGGAGAGGAAAGUGGAAUUCCUAGUGUAGCGGUGAAAUGCGUAGAUAUUAGGAGGAACACCAGUGGCGAAGGCGACUUUCUGGACUGUAACUGACACUGAGGUACGAAAGCGUGGGGAGCAAACAGG
RNAcentral lists this ribosomal RNA (252 nucleotides) under uncultured bacterium. RNAcentral describes it as "partial 16S ribosomal RNA". It matches the Rfam family "Bacterial small subunit ribosomal RNA", at positions 524 to 776 of the family's 1533-position model. The record is from RNAcentral.